Molecule: ribosomal RNA, 495 nt
Filed under: Escherichia coli
Lineage: Bacteria; Pseudomonadati; Pseudomonadota; Gammaproteobacteria; Enterobacterales; Enterobacteriaceae
Description: bacterial SSU rRNA
Rfam family: Bacterial small subunit ribosomal RNA
Source: RNAcentral
GAGUAAUGUCUGGGAAACUGCCUGAUGGAGGGGGAUAACUACUGGAAACGGUAGCUAAUACCGCAUAACGUCGCAAGACCAAAGAGGGGGACCUUCGGGCCUCUUGCCAUCGGAUGUGCCCAGAUGGGAUUAGCUAGUAGGUGGGGUAACGGCUCACCUAGGCGACGAUCCCUAGCUGGUCUGAGAGGAUGACCAGCCACACUGGAACUGAGACACGGUCCAGACUCCUACGGGAGGCAGCAGUGGGGAAUAUUGCACAAUGGGCGCAAGCCUGAUGCAGCCAUGCCGCGUGUAUGAAGAAGGCCUUCGGGUUGUAAAGUACUUUCAGCGGGGAGGAAGGGAGUAAAGUUAAUACCUUUGCUCAUUGACGUUACCCGCAGAAGAAGCACCGGCUAACUCCGUGCCAGCAGCCGCGGUAAUACGGAGGGUGCAAGCGUUAAUCGGAAUUACUGGGCGUAAAGCGCACGCAGGCGGUUUGUUAAGUCAGAUGUGAAA